GACGUAGGGCGCGAGCGUUGUCCGGAUUUAUUGGGCGUAAAGAGCUCGUAGGCGGCUUGUCGCGUCGUCCGUGAAAACUUGGGGCUCAACCCCAAGCUUGCGGUCGAUACGGGCAGGCUAGAGUUCGGUAGGGGAGACUGGAAUUCCUGGUGUAGCGGUGAAAUGACGCAGAUAUCAGGAGGAACACCGGUGGCGAAGGCGGGUCUCUGGGCCGAUACUGACGCUGAGGAGCGAAAGCGUGGGGAGCGAACAGG
Molecule: ribosomal RNA, 254 nt
Filed under: uncultured bacterium
Lineage: Bacteria
Description: partial 16S ribosomal RNA
Rfam family: Bacterial small subunit ribosomal RNA
Source: RNAcentral